This 505-nucleotide ribosomal RNA is filed under the name uncultured bacterium. RNAcentral's name for it is "bacterial SSU rRNA". It matches the Rfam family "Bacterial small subunit ribosomal RNA", at positions 376 to 896 of the family's 1533-position model. The record is from RNAcentral.
CGAAAGUGUGAGGGAGCGACGCCGCGUGGAGGAUGAAGUCCUUCGGGAUGUAAACUCCUGUCAGGGGUUACCAAGUUCUGAGGAGCCCCAAAGGAAGUGGCGACUAACUCUGUGCCAGCAGUCGCGGUAAUACAGAGGCCACAAGCGUUAGGCGGAAUCACUGGGCUUAAAGCGUGUGUAGGCGGGCCGUUAAGUGCCUUGUGAAAUCCCCCGGCUCAACCGGGGGAAUGGCUGGGCAUACUGGCGGUCUUGAGCCACCUAGGGGCAGCUGGAACAGACGGUGGAGCGGUGAAAUGCGUAGAUAUCGUCUGGAACGCCAAUGGUGAAAACAGGCUGCUGGGGGUGAGCUGACGCUGAGACACGAAAGCCAGGGGAGCAAACGGGAUUAGAUACCCCGGUAGUCCUGGCCCUAAACGAUGUCCACUAGAUCGCAGUGUCACUGACGGCAUUGUGGUCGAAGCAAAAGUGCUAAGUGGACCGCCUGGGAAGUACGGUCGCAAGGCUA